RNAcentral lists this long non-coding RNA (1215 nucleotides) under Mytilus galloprovincialis (Mediterranean mussel). Lineage: Eukaryota; Metazoa; Mollusca; Bivalvia; Mytilida; Mytilidae. The record is from RNAcentral.
AAAGGUUAUUUAUUCCUGAAUAUAUUAUCCGUAGUUUUUGCAAACAAUAUAAAGUUUUGUAAACAGUUAAUUCAUAUAAUUGACUAUUUUAAUAAUAAUUCAUGUUUACACAAAGUGCUAACUUUUGGACAUCGUGUUGCUGCAUGGGUUGUUUGUUUCAUUAAUUUUUAUUGUGCUAUAGCUAAAAAGGUUACAGUCCACAGGAAGACAUAUUACCCUAACUUGACACUCCGAUCCAACUAGUCUUUGUUCUUACCCCUUAAUGCCAAUUGAUUAACGGAAAUCAGCAAAUACCAAUUUUUGAGUCUUAGGUUUGACCAGGCCGGUGUCAGAACCCACGAUAUCAGGCGUUUUAAUUCAUUUAUUAUAUUUAUUUAAUUGUACAAUGAAUUAAUAAAAGGGUGCAUACUGUAAGAAUCCAUCUUAUAUGAAUCCACGCUUAAACAUACACAUCCACCCAAAAGAAAUAACUUUUGCAACAUAUAUAGAAAUAAGAAGAUGUGGUAUGAGUGCCAAUGAUACUACUCUCCUUCCAGGACACAACAUGUAAAAAGUAAACAAUUAUAGGUCAAAGUACGACCUUUAACACAGAGCUUUGGCUUACACCGACCAGCAAGCUAUCAAGGACACACAAGUGACUAAUGUAGAAAUUCAAACAGGAAAACCAACGGUUUAAUCUUUAUAUAAAAAAAAACUAGAAACGAGGAACACGUAUGAACCACAACAACCACCGAACAGGUUCCUUACUUGUUGCAAACAAACACAGCAUGUGAAAACGUUUAAACAGGCGACAACCUUCACCCUAACCCGAACUUAUAUACUUUUAUUAGUAACUUGCAUGUCCAAUUAUAACUGUAGUUCAUUUUGAUAAACAAAUUACAAAAACACAAAAACAAAACGAAACAAUACAAAAUGCAACUUAAUCACAUACAUGCAUUUUACAUGAUAUUUCACAAAUCAUUUGACACUGACAGGAAAGUGAAAACAUUUUUCGUCAUUGCCAGUAUCCACAUCAUAAUUACAGAUAACAAAAAUGUUCCAUAGAUAUAGGAAGAUGUGGUGUGAGUGCCAAUGAUACAACUCUCCAUCCAAAUAACAAUUUAUAAAAGUAAACCAUAAUAGGUCAAUGUACGGCCUUUAACACGGGGCCUUGGCUCACACCGAACAACAAGCUAUAAAGGGCCCCAAAAUUACUACUGUAAAACCAUUCAAACC